RNAcentral lists this ribosomal RNA (468 nucleotides) under uncultured bacterium. RNAcentral describes it as "partial 16S ribosomal RNA". It matches the Rfam family "Bacterial small subunit ribosomal RNA", at positions 28 to 507 of the family's 1533-position model. The record is from RNAcentral.
GACGAACGCUGGCGGCGUGCUUAACACAUGCAAGUCGAACGGAAAGGCCCUGCUUUUGUGGGGUGCUCGAGUGGCGAACGGGUGAGUAACACGUGAGUAACCUGCCCUUGACUUUGGGAUAACUUCAGGAAACUGGGGCUAAUACCGGAUAUGAGCUCCUGCUGCAUGUUGUGGGUUGGAAAGUUUCGGCGGUUGGGGAUGGACUCGCGGCUUAUCAGCUUGUUGGUGGGGUAGUGGCUUACCAAGGCUUUGACGGGUAGCCGGCCUGAGAGGGUGAACGGCCACAUUGGGACUGAGAGACGGCGCAGAAUCCUACGGGAGGCAGCAGGGGGGAAUAUUGCACAAUGGGCGGAAGCCUGAUGCAGAAACGACGCGUGCGGGAUGACGGCCUUUGGGGUGUAAACCGAUUUCGACUGUGACGAAGAGGGAGUGACGGUAAUGGGUAAAGAAGCACCGGCUAACUACGUG